RNAcentral lists this long non-coding RNA (216 nucleotides) under Solanum melongena (eggplant). RNAcentral's name for it is "long non-coding RNA (SMEL_LNC000240)". Lineage: Eukaryota; Viridiplantae; Streptophyta; Magnoliopsida; Solanales; Solanaceae. The record is from RNAcentral.
GUACUUUUAUCAAUCUGAUUUAUUUCGUACCUUUCGUUCAAUGACAAAAUGGGCCAAAUUCUACAGGAUCAAACCUAUGGGACUUAAGGAAUGAUAUAAAAAAAAAGAGAGGGAAAAUAUUCAUAUUAAAUAAAUAUGAAGUAGAAGAACCCAGAUUUCAAAUGAACAAAUUCAAACUUGAAAAGGAUCUUCCUUAUUCUUGAAGAAUAAGGGGUA